AGUGAACGCUGGCGGUAGGCCUAACACAUGCAAGUCGAACGGCAGCACAGUAAGAGCUUGCUCUUACGGGUGGCGAGUGGCGGACGGGUGAGGAAUACAUCGGAAUCUACUUUUUCGUGGGGGAUAACGUAGGGAAACUUACGCUAAUACCGCAUACGACCUACGGGUGAAAGCAGGGGAUCUUCGGACCUUGCGCGAUUGAAUGAGCCGAUGUCGGAUUAGCUAGUUGGCGGGGUAAAGGCCCACCAAGGCGACGAUCCGUAGCUGGUCUGAGAGGAUGACCACCCACACUGAAACUGGAACCCGGCCCAGACUCCUACGGGAGGCAGCGGUGGGGAAUUUUGGAAAAGGGGCCCAGGCCUGAUCCACCCAUCCCGGGGGGGUGAAGAAGGCCUUCGGGUUGUAAAGCCCUUUUUUUGGGAAAAAAAAGCAGCAGGUUAAUCCCCCGCUGUUCUGCCGGUACCCAAAGAAUAAGCACCGGCUAACUUCG
This 490-nucleotide ribosomal RNA is filed under the name uncultured bacterium. Its description in RNAcentral is "partial 16S ribosomal RNA". It matches the Rfam family "Bacterial small subunit ribosomal RNA", at positions 29 to 505 of the family's 1533-position model. The record is from RNAcentral.